UACGGAGGGGGGCUAGCGUUGUUCGGAAUUACUGGGCGUAAAGCGCGCGUAGGCGGACCUGCAAGUCGGGGGUGAAAGCCCGAGGCUCAACCUCGGAACUGCCUUCGAUACUGCGGGUCUCGAGUCCGGGAGAGGUGAGUGGAAUUCCUAGUGUAGAGGUGAAAUUCGUAGAUAUUAGGAAGAACACCAGUGGCGAAGGCGGCUCACUGGCCCGGUACUGACGCUGAGGCGCGAAAGCGUGGGGAGCGAACAGG
This 254-nucleotide ribosomal RNA is filed under the name uncultured bacterium. RNAcentral's name for it is "partial 16S ribosomal RNA". It matches the Rfam family "Bacterial small subunit ribosomal RNA", at positions 524 to 776 of the family's 1533-position model. The record is from RNAcentral.